Long non-coding RNA from Harpegnathos saltator (Jerdon's jumping ant), 505 nucleotides. RefSeq lists it as uncharacterized. NCBI's taxonomy places the organism in Eukaryota, Metazoa, Arthropoda, Insecta, Hymenoptera, Formicidae. The transcript is spliced from 3 exons. The record is from RefSeq and is a predicted model, not a curated record.
CGGUUGUACAGAGGGCGCCUCACACUGGGCUCGGUUAAAAGCGGCCCAUGACCCAUGACACUUCUCCUUCUUCUCUCUGGCGGACCAUAUAAUAUAUGAUUGCGUGUAUGUGAUAUGUAUUACGUUGUGUAAGAUUCAGUAAAUAUUCUCAAAAUCUGAAUUGAUGUAAAGGAUGUGGUUUUAUUUAAUACUUACUCUUCUUGGAAUAUUCCCUACUACAAUGGCUUAUAAUAAUUUUGAUUUUGGCGAUACACUGGCGUUAAUUUUGGGCCUAAUUAUUGGAAUUGUCGGAUUUUUCGCUUGUAUGGGCGCUUACUCUAGGAGACGAAAUCAUUGAAAUUUUGUGACGAGUUGUAAUUGUUCCAAAUGUAUCAGACAUCGAUGUAAUAUUCGCAAAUGUGCCUGUUUUAAUUUGUUGCAGUUUUACAAAUUUUAUCUACUAUAAUUAUAGAACAGAACAAACAAUCAAUAAAAAGUGGCAAUUAAUAAAAAGUACAAUUUUUUA